UACGUAGGGGGCAAGCGUUGUCCGGAAUUAUUGGGCGUAAAGCGCGCGCAGGCGGUCAAUUAAGUUGGGUGUUUAAGCCCGGGGCUCAACCCCGGUUCGCAUCCAAAACUGGUUGACUUGAGUGUAGGAGAGGAAAGUGGAAUUCCACGUGUAGCGGUGAAAUGCGUAGAGAUGUGGAGGAACACCAGUGGCGAAGGCGACUUUCUGGCCCGAUACUGACGCUGAGGCGCGAAAGCGUGGGGAGCAAACAGG
RNAcentral lists this ribosomal RNA (252 nucleotides) under uncultured bacterium. RNAcentral describes it as "partial 16S ribosomal RNA". It matches the Rfam family "Bacterial small subunit ribosomal RNA", at positions 524 to 776 of the family's 1533-position model. The record is from RNAcentral.